RNAcentral lists this ribosomal RNA (498 nucleotides) under uncultured bacterium. RNAcentral describes it as "partial 16S ribosomal RNA". It matches the Rfam family "Bacterial small subunit ribosomal RNA", at positions 30 to 523 of the family's 1533-position model. The record is from RNAcentral.
AUUGAACGCUGGCGGCAUGCCUUACACAUGCAAGUCGAACGGUAACAGGUCUUCGGACGCUGACGAGUGGCGAACGGGUGAGUAAUACAUCGGAACGUGCCCGAGAGUGGGGGAUAACGAAGCGAAAGCUUUGCUAAUACCGCAUACGAUCUCAGGAUGAAAGCAGGGGACCGCAAGGCCUUGCGCUCACGGAGCGGCCGAUGGCAGAUUAGGUAGUUGGUGGGAUAAAAGCUUACCAAGCCGACGAUCUGUAGCUGGUCUGAGAGGACGACCAGCCACACUGGGACUGAGACACGGCCCAGACUCCUACGGGAGGCAGCAGUGGGGAAUUUUGGACAAUGGGCGCAAGCCUGAUCCAGCCAUGCCGCAUGCAGGAUGAAGGCCUUCGGGUUGUAAACUGCUUUUGUACGGAACGAAAAGACUCUGGUUAAUACCUGGGGUCCAUGACGGUACCGUAAGAAUAAGCACCGGCUAACUACGUGCCAGCCGCCGCGGUAA